AAGAGGGAGAUCUAUGAGCACAUGCUCUCUCCUCUGAUGCUAGUGCAAACUGCUACUUCCUUUGUAGGUUAAGAUAUACUGUUAUUGGUCCUCACAUGAAAUCCACCAGUCCCAGCAUAUCCUAACGAUUUGCCUCAAAGAACUGAUCUGAACUCAAGGGCUGAAGUAAGGUUCAACUCUACGGUGUUUUGAAGGAUAUGCCAAGAUUGGAUGGAUCGCACAUCACAAUCAAUAUUGACAUACAGUAACCUACAAUUGAGUCUGUGGAGGAGUCAUGCUAAUGGCAGCACAGUUUGCACCACAGUUUCAGGUUCUAUGAUUUCAGCUACAACUUACAGCUGCUUCUAGGUAGUUGUGUUUGUGUCUGUGGAUGGCUAUAAAUUGUCCAUGCCUAGGGCAGACAGAGAGGAGGUUUUCAGUUUCUGAACCAGAAUUACUUGGAUGUUUGUGCCAACCAGGAAUCACUCACUGAAAUUCCAACCAGGAAUCGCUCACUGAAAUUCAAAAUUUCAUAACAUUCAGUUGCAAAAUUAAUCAGAACCACACCAAAUGGGUAAAGGCACCCAGCUGGGCCCUUCAGGCUGGGCCAACCCUUUUGACUGCAUUAUCUCCACAACUGCAUCACCACCACGCCAUUUGGUCAUCCAGUGCAGAUAUGCUGAACUUAAGUUCACUGAAUGACAGCUGAAUCAAAGUUAACAAUGCUCAAUAGAAGAAUCAACAAAAAAUGUUUGUAAUAUUCACGCAGGACCUGCUGCUGCGGUUUCUCAUAGGCUUUAUUCUCUUGAUGAAAACAAUGGUGGGUGAAGGUCAAUGCAGAUGUGGACAACACAGAGCACAUAUUCAAGAAUCCCAGUGGGAUCGUGUGCUAGCCUGCCCACACAAUCACAGUUGGUGGCACUACAGACCGCCAUUGGUCCCACCCCCUCUCAGGCUUCCAAAGAUCUGGAUUCCAUCCUAGCAGCCGAAGCCCUGCCCACACACUGGCAUGGCUUCACAGUCUCCCCAGCCUGACUCCUAUUGGCCCCAAAGGCAGAUUGGAUUGCCACAGGAUUUAGCUACGUAAUACUAAUGUCAUUCAGCUACCUUUA
Hemicordylus capensis (graceful crag lizard) is the source of this 1091-nucleotide long non-coding RNA. RefSeq lists it as uncharacterized. The record is from RefSeq and is a predicted model, not a curated record. The transcript has 3 exons. Lineage: Eukaryota; Metazoa; Chordata; Lepidosauria; Squamata; Cordylidae.